Long non-coding RNA from Bactrocera latifrons, 888 nucleotides. RefSeq lists it as uncharacterized. NCBI's taxonomy places the organism in Eukaryota, Metazoa, Arthropoda, Insecta, Diptera, Tephritidae. The record is from RefSeq and is a predicted model, not a curated record. The transcript has 2 exons.
GAAGCCAUGUAAUGGCGCAGGUGGAAAAAGGAGAGGUACCGACGCGGUAAUGUAAGAACAAGAAGCAAACGGUUCGGGUAGUAAAUCAAAAGGCUCAAAUGACAAAUACAAAUCAAGAAGUAGAACAAAGAGAAGAUGAAGAAAAGUCAGAACAGCGAGGCACUUGCAAUGACAGAUGAACUGAAACGGGAUAUGCAUUUGCAUAAAUUGAAUGUGCAUACAGAAAUUAAUAGUUGACGACGCAUCGCAAAAAAGAACGAAAACUAAGUGAAAAAUAUGAACAUAAAAGUGAAAAAGUGAAAAGUAAAAUAACGCGCUGGGCAUUUCAUAAACCACAAUUGGCAAACAAAAAAAAUAGUUAAAUUAAGCAAAUGUGCGCGGUAAUGAAUCGGAACGAUUGGUACGCGUCGAGCCGUUAAACCGUACGGCGCAGCGCACUCCAUGCUUAUGCAAAGUGGUCGUGCAUGUUUAAUAAGCGCGUUCGUUGAUGGCAUGUGUUGGACGCAUGUUGCGCAGCAUAAAACAUGUGGCACUUUCUAGAGUUGGUGUGCAGAUUCUAUGCAUCCCUAUUGCAAACUCAUUUCAUCUCAACAGAUCACAGCUAAGGCGCUCGCAGCUCCACACUGGCUCCACAUGCCAACAACACACUCCAACGACUGGCAAUGAUCACGACACCAGUGUUAGUUGUAAAGUUUUKCGAAGCGCUGAAUUCAGUCUCGUUUUGACUCUUUCGUUUGUGUGACGUAGUCUCGUUGGCGAUCGGUUGAAGCGCGUGCUUGSUUGUCGGUGUACAAAUAUUUUUGUUUACAUAUUACGAGCCUUUACUAACAUACGAAGUUAAAAUGGUGCGCGAAGAAAAAUAAAUUUAAAUAACAAAUUAUAUGCGAA